RNAcentral lists this ribosomal RNA (420 nucleotides) under Fusobacteriota bacterium. RNAcentral describes it as "Fusobacteria bacterium partial 16S ribosomal RNA". It matches the Rfam family "Bacterial small subunit ribosomal RNA", at positions 355 to 776 of the family's 1533-position model. Lineage: Bacteria; Fusobacteriati; Fusobacteriota. The record is from RNAcentral.
UGGGGGAUAUUGCACAAUGGGCGAAAGCCUGAUGCAGCGACGCCGCGUGGGGGAUGAAGGCCUUCGGGUUGUAAACUUCUUUUGCUCUGAACAAGGCAUGCCUUUGGGGUGUGUUGAGUGUAGGGGUUGAUUAGCGCCGGCUAACUACGUGCCAGCAGCCGCGGUAAUACGUAGGGCGCGAGCGUUGUCCGGAAUUGUUGGGCGUAAAGGGCUUGUAGGUGGCUGGUUGCGUCUGUCGUGAAAGCUCAUGGCUUAACUGUGGGUUUGCGGUGGGGACGGGGUGGCGUGAGUGCAGUAGGGGAGGCUGGAAUUCCGGGUGUAGCGGUGGAAUGCGCAGAUAUCAGGAGGAAUACCGGUGGCGAAGGCGGGUCUCUGGGCUGUUACUGACGCUGAGGAGCGAAAGCGUGGGGAGCGAACAGG